RNAcentral lists this ribosomal RNA (402 nucleotides) under uncultured bacterium. RNAcentral's name for it is "partial 16S ribosomal RNA". It matches the Rfam family "Bacterial small subunit ribosomal RNA", at positions 360 to 774 of the family's 1533-position model. The record is from RNAcentral.
AAUAUUGCACAAUGGGCGAAAGCCUGAUGCAGCGACGCCGCGUGGGGGAUGACGGCCNNNGGGUUNUCAACCCCUUUCAGUAGNGACNAAGCGAGAGUGACGGUACCUGCAGAAGAAGCGCCGGCUAACUACGUGCCAGCAGCCGCGGUAAUACGUAGGGCGCAAGCGUUGUCCGGAAUUAUUGGGCGUAAAGAGCUUGUAGGUGGCUUGUCGCGUCUGCCGUGAAAACCCGAGGCUCAACCUCGGGCGUGCGGUGGGUACGGGCAGGCUAGAGUGUGGUAGGGGAGACUGGAACUCCUGGUGUAGCGGUGAAAUGCGCAGAUAUCAGGAAGAACACCGAUGGCGAAGGCAGGUCUCUGGGCCAUUACUGACACUGAGAAGCGAAAGCAUGGGUAGCGAACA